AUGAACGCUGGCGGCGUGCCUCAUACAUGCAAGUCGCGCGAACAGACGAGGAGCUUGCUCCUUCGACGUUAGCGGCGGACGGGUGAGUAACACGUAGGUAACCUACCUAUAAGACUGGGAUAACUUCGGGAAACCGGAGCUAAUACCGGAUAAUAUUUCGAACCGCAUGGUUCGAUAGUGAAAGAUGGCUUUGCUAUCACUUAUAGAUGGACCUGCGCCGUAUUAGCUAGUUGGUAAGGUAACGGCUUACCAAGGCAACGAUACGUAGCCGACCUGAGAGGGUGAUCGGCCACACUGGAACUGAGACACGGUCCAGACUCCUACGGGAGGCAGCAGUAGGGAAUCUUCCGCAAUGGGCGAAAGCCUGACGGAGCAACGCCGCGUGAGUGAUGAAGGUCUUCGGAUCGUAAAACUCUGUUAUUAGGGAAGAACAAACGUGUAAGUAACUGUGCACGUCUUGACGGUACCUAAUCAGAAAGCCACGGCUAACUACGUG
RNAcentral lists this ribosomal RNA (496 nucleotides) under uncultured bacterium. Its description in RNAcentral is "partial 16S ribosomal RNA". It matches the Rfam family "Bacterial small subunit ribosomal RNA", at positions 29 to 507 of the family's 1533-position model. The record is from RNAcentral.